Molecule: unclassified non-coding RNA, 3336 nt
Filed under: Leishmania donovani
Lineage: Eukaryota; Euglenozoa; Kinetoplastea; Trypanosomatida; Trypanosomatidae
Description: gene:LdHU3.20.2140(CDS-product:Pentatricopeptide_ repeat_domain_containing_protein_putative)
Source: RNAcentral
AGGAGAGAAAGAGCGUGCGAAGCCGUAAAAGGAACGUUGGAAAGGCGCGGCGACCAAGAUCACGCAUGUGGCGCACGUCAUGCGCGGCGCGCUCGAAGGCGCUGUCCCCGUACGCGCAGGCGCUGAAGCAGGUGGCACUGAAAGGUGUCGUGGCGAUAGGCCCUAGUGCAAAGGAGAUGGAGAUCGAUAUGUACAGAAGGGGAACCCUACCUGCCGACUACCGGCCCCCUGUGCAAGGCAAAUGGGAUGACACCAUUGAGCGCUGGGCCUACGCGUGGCAGUUUCCCGCCGAGGAAGAAGUGGAGGACGUGGUCACUUCAGUGGAGAGGAACGGUAAGGCCAUGCAGGACCUACUCGAGUUCGGGGAGCGCCUUGCGAGCUCUCCACCGUCGACGGUGCCCAAGUCGGGCCGUCGCUCCACCACAUAUAAAGUGCCUCUGGCUGCGGCUGACCAGCUGCCCCUCCUGGUGCCCUCGCAGAAGUAUGACUUGCUGGAGGGCGACCUCAACAAUUUAAGCGGCACUCCAGAUGAGGAGGUGCGGCCAGUGAUGGCGGUGGAGCAAUUCUCGCAGGAAAUGAACAUUCCGAUAGCCUACCUUGACGAUGAGUCGGAACGCACAAAUGCCAGCAAAGAGUUGAGCGUUAUCAUGGGUGGCGCAGGUUUGGAUUUCACCGAGGAGGGCCUUGUGGUCGUCCUCUCCGCUCUUGCGAGGCAGCACUACUACGAUGCAGCACGUGCCAUUUUCCUCUUUGCUGCCGAUGUGGGUCUCGGACCAAACGCGGAGAUGUACAAGGCGCUGAUGAAGCACUCGUCUUCGCUAGGAAAGGUUAAUGACUCCAUGGCACUUAUCGAAGAAAUGAAAAUGCGCGGCAUCACGCCACGCAUUGGCAACUGGCACGAGCUCAUGCGCUCAUUCCACAACGCGGGGGACUACUCCGCCGUGGCGCAGAUUGUAGACAACAUGAAGAUGUACGCGAAUAUUGAGCCGAACGAAGUGACCUUCGCCCUGCAGCUGCGUGCGCUGAGCAAGGACACGUCGCAGAUGAACUCCCUGGCGGAGUCCGUGCAGCUCUUUGACCAAAUGGAGAACGUGUACGGCUUCAUCGCUGCACGGCCUCACUACGAUGCGCUCAUGUUUUCCUUGAGUCAGAGCCCGGUCCCAGAGAUGCGACUCCGCUGCGAAGAGCUGGCACAGAAGAUGGAACUCAUGGGCAUUCCCUGGAACGCCACAACGUAUCUAAACCUGAUCCGCUCUGCGCAGGUUGUCGGCGAUGUCGACGCGGUGGAACGGCAUCUCGCAAAAAUGCGCGACGACCGUAUUCCGGUCAGCAUGCUUCACCUUUCCUGGGCUGUUCAAGCGCACGUCCAGCUCCUCAUCCGUGCCGAUUACGAGCAGAUGAAGGAGCAGAAGAGCGACAUUUACGCCAUGUGGCUCGAGCAUAUGAACACUUGCUUCGGGAUAUACGAGCUGGUGGUUCGCCGCGGGUGGGAAAUGCAAGCUCCUUUUAUCAAUUCGCUGCUUCGUCUGUGCUGUCAGACCGCAAUUCUGAGCAUCGAGCACCUGCCCGACAACACGAGAGCGAUCGGCAUGUUCGAGGAACAGGCAAAUAAGAUCUGGGCCGACACGUUCGAUGAGUGGCACCUCAAAAAGGAUGUGUACAGCUACGAGUGCUAUAUAGCCCUGCUCGCUCACCAGCAGCGCAUCGACGAGGCGGAGAAACUGUUCCAGCAAAUGGUCCUGCAGGAAGACUUGGUGCCCAGCCGGCGGACCUACGAGUGCCUCAUCUUCAUGCAUCUCUCUUCCGGCGAGGAGGGCGGCGCCGCGCGGGCGUUGCACUAUCUGGAGGCCAUGGAGAACGCGAGGAUCCCAGUGCGUGCGUCGCUCCUCAAGAAGAUUGUCCGCGUGAAUAAUGCCGCAGGGUACAAGCGCGACAUGAAGCGGCGGGCCCGUCGCAUCAUGCAAGCCCGUGAGGAGUACCUCGCGCGGAAGCAGGAGGGCAUCGAGUUCCCACUGCAGCCCUCGCCAGCGGCGGGGGUUGUCCCGGCGGAAGCGAAGGCGGCGACUGUCGUGCAGCCUUUACCCGUUCCAGCUGACACAACGCUGGCAUGGUGGGAGCGGUGGAAGAAGACGACAGUGAGCAAACACGAGCUGUUCGCCGAGGAGAACGCCGAUGGUACGCCAAAGGGCGAAACGUUUGAGGAGAAGAACGCCGCCCUCACGCAGCUGGGCAUCGACUCCGCCUUCAAGACCCCUGCCGAUGUCCCGGCGCUGAGCAAGCAACAGCUGCUACCAAAGAUACGGCAACAGGAGGGGGAGAUUGCGGGCAGCUUGUGGGCGCUGGAUGGAAGCGAGCUGGCGUACCCGAAGAGUGGAGGUGGCCCGGAAGGCUGGGGCGUACGACUGUGGCGCGAGCGUGCAAUUGUGAAACAGGAGUAUCAGGGCAUUCUAGACGGCAAGGCAGCUGUGCCGGAGUUCUCUGAGAUGGGAAAGGCAGUACGAGUGGCUGGUGACCAGCUAGACAUUGAAGAGAGCGGUGCCACGAACCCCGGCGAGCUGUCCGACUGGCGACAGUACCCGCAGCAUCGAUACGACGAUGGAAGCAAGAAGCCAGCGAGUGAGAUGGCGCACGCAGUGCCGCCGUCGGCUGAGUUUGUGUGGCAAGGAGAGCAGCGGGACCCGUUAGCGCCGUACAAGAGCGAUGAAGAAAUCGCUCUGGAGUCGGACAACACUUUCUACGAACAGAUAAAAGAGGAAGCCGCGAGCAGCACAAAGGUCCUCGUUGAGGUUCUUCAGAACAAGGAGGAGGGCGUGGUGAAACUGACUAGCCAGGGACCUACACGCAAGUCCAAGUACGACUACCUGGAGAAGUGGCGUGAGAUGUACCGGCACGGUACUCUUGAGGCGCCAGAGGAUCCCCCGCUUCGCUUUGGCCGCUCGCCGGACGAUCAUCAUGACUCCCUGGCAUCCAGUGUGCGAGACUGGUACCGGCGCAACAGGAAGACCCCUGCCACGCAGGCGCAGCUGCAGCGUUGGGAGGCGGAGGAGGCGCGCAGCACCGAGGAGCGAUCGUCCAGGAAGGCGCUGCAGCGAAGCAAGCGCCGCCGACUGCGCACUCGCUAAUGAACGGCUAAGUGGAAGAGGGGAGCAGCCCAACGCUGCUUCCCACACCAGUGCAUUUUUCUUUUGUUUUCGCAGCUGCGUCUCACAGCACACACACUCUCCACAGACACAGGCACACGGUGGAUGAUAAGCAUGGACAUGAGUUGAAGUAAACACGCACGCACCGCCCGCAUAUGCGCACGGUGUGGAGAGUGCGGCUCUGUUACCGGCAGAC